CUCACUUGAAAGGGAUCUUUUGGAAGAACCUUAGAAGUUUGUUUUCUUUAUCUAUUAAAGUGAAAUAUUUGAAUUCAUUCAAGUGCAGCAGGGUCAUCUAGAGAAUUUGUAAAAUGUGCAGAUUUCUAAACACCCACCAAUGCAGAAGGUCUGAGAUGGAUUUCAGGAAUUAACAAGAUUCCAGGUUUUAAUAAGAAUCCAGGUGUCAACCAAGAAACCCAGAAGUUGCAAAUAAGGAAAGCGUUAUCUGGAGGUCCUAGAAACUGCAGUACUGGAGACACAGAUUCAGAAGCUACUCCAUGACUUCACCCUAAAAUAAGGGACACAGCAUUCCAUGAACUCAUAAUAAUGCAAGCAAAGGGAAGCAGAGUCAAAGAGAGAAGAUGCUAUCCUGCUGGCUUGGAAGAGGGAGGAAAAGGCCACCAAACCAAGGAAUGCUGGCAGACACUAGAAGAUGAAAAAGAAACUAAGCCCUUUUUUCCACCCAGCUUCCAUGCUAAAUAAAUAAGAAUUUAUCUCCAUGUAAACUCACUUCAUUUUCUGUAAAAGAUCUCAACAGCCACACUGUUCUCUUUCUGACAUGGGGCGUGUGGAUGCCCCACGGGUGGGCAUGAAUCAGGAGGGCAGCAGUUUUCAGGUCGCUACACUCAUACUCAUGCAACUCGAAAGUGCCCAGGCCAGACAGCACCUCAAGGAAGGGCCUCUGGGCCAGCAGAGACUGCAGGGAGCUCAGCUUCUGGUCCACAGAGCCGAGCUCCACCUUUGUGGCCAUCCUCCCCUG
Non-coding RNA from Odocoileus virginianus texanus, 781 nucleotides. The record is from RefSeq and is a predicted model, not a curated record. NCBI's taxonomy places the organism in Eukaryota, Metazoa, Chordata, Mammalia, Artiodactyla, Cervidae.